This 453-nucleotide ribosomal RNA is filed under the name uncultured bacterium. Its description in RNAcentral is "bacterial SSU rRNA". It matches the Rfam family "Bacterial small subunit ribosomal RNA", at positions 335 to 799 of the family's 1533-position model. The record is from RNAcentral.
ACUCCUACGGGAGGCAGCAGUGGGGGAAUAUUGGACAAUGGGGGCGAACCCUGAUCCAGCCAUGCCGCGUGAGUGAUGAAGGCCUUAGGGUUGUAAAGCUCUUUCAGCGAGGAGGAUAAUGACGUUACUCGCAGAAGAAGCCCCGGCUAACUUCGUGCCAGCAGCCGCGGUAAUACGAAGGGGGCUAGCGUUGUUCGGAAUCACUGGGGCGUAAAGCGCACGUAGGCGGAUUGAUAAGUUAGGGGGUGAAAUCCCGGGGCUCAACCUCGGAACUGCCUUUGAUACUGUCAGUCUUGAGUCCGAGAGAGGUGAGUGGAACUCCGAGUGUAGAGGUGAAAUUCGUAGAUAUUCGGAAGAACACCAGUGGCGAAGGCGGCUCACUGGCUCGGUACUGACGCUGAGGUGCGAAAGCGUGGGGGAGCAAACAGGAUUAGAUACCCUGGUAGGAUAGCG